CCUACGGGAGGCAGCAGUGAGGAAUAUUGGUCAUUGGACGAGAGUCUGAACCAGCCAAGUAGCGUGAAGGAUGACUGCCCUAUGGGUUGUACACUUCUUUUAUAUGGGAAUAAAACGUUCCACGUGUGGGAUUUUGUAUGUCCCAUAUGAAUCAGGAGCGGCUAAAUCCGUGCCAGCAGCCGCGGUAAUACGGAGGAUCCGAGCGUUAUCCGGAUUUAUUGGGUUUAAAGGGAGCGUAGGUGGAUUGUUAAGUCAGUUGUGAAAGGUUGCGGCUUAACCGUAAAAUUGCAGUUGAAACUGGCAGGCUUGAGUACAGUAGAGGUGAGCGGAAUUCGUGGUGUAGCGGUGAAAUGCUUAGAUAUCACGAAGAACUCCGAUUGCGAAGGCAGUUCACUGGACUGCAACUGACACUGAGGCUCGAAAGUGUGGGUAUCAAACAGGAUUAGAUACCCCAGUAGUC
This 460-nucleotide ribosomal RNA is filed under the name uncultured bacterium. Its description in RNAcentral is "partial 16S ribosomal RNA". It matches the Rfam family "Bacterial small subunit ribosomal RNA", at positions 338 to 795 of the family's 1533-position model. The record is from RNAcentral.